Molecule: ribosomal RNA, 489 nt
Filed under: uncultured bacterium
Lineage: Bacteria
Description: partial 16S ribosomal RNA
Rfam family: Bacterial small subunit ribosomal RNA
Source: RNAcentral
AUGAACGCUAGCUACAGGCUUAACACAUGCCCGUCGAGGGGCAGCAUGGUCUUAGCUUGCUAAGGCCGAUGGCGACCGGCGCACGGGUGAGUAACACGUAUCCAACCUGCCGUCUACUCUUGGACAGCCUUCUGAAAGGAAGAUUAAUACAAGAUGGCAUCAUGAGUCCGCAUGUUCACAUGAUUAAAGGUAUUCCGGUAGACGAUGGGGAUGCGUUCCAUUAGAUAGUAGGCGGGGUAACGGCCCACCUAGUCUUCGAUGGAUAGGGGUUCUGAGAGGAAGGUCCCCCACAUUGGAACUGAGACACGGUCCAAACUCCUACGGGAGGCAGCAGUGAGGAAGAUUGGUCAAUGGGCGCAGGCCUGAACCAGCCAAGUAGCGUGAAGGAUGACUGCCCUAUGGGUUGUAAACUUCUUUUAGAAAGGAAUAAAGUCGGGUAUGUAUACCCGUUUGCAUGUACUUUAUGAAUAAGGAUCGGCUAACUCCGUG